This 588-nucleotide small RNA is filed under the name Pan troglodytes (chimpanzee). RNAcentral describes it as "processed transcript". The record is from RNAcentral. Lineage: Eukaryota; Metazoa; Chordata; Mammalia; Primates; Hominidae.
CUACAGGUAAGCCCACAGAGGAGGGACUGACUACGGAUGCCAUUUGUGUCUAUGAGUGGACCAAGGCAAGAAGUGGCAUCACUCCCGUGUGUCUCUGGGGCCACUCUCUGGGUACAGGGGUUGCAACAAAUGCUGCAAAAGUGCUAGAAGAAAAAGGAUGCCCAGUUGAUGCUAUUGUCUUGGAAGCUCCAUUUACCAACAUGUGGGUUGCAAGUAUCAAUUAUCCCUUGUUAAAGGUAUAUGCCCAGAUGGCCUGAAGUAACUGAAGAAUCACAAAAGAAGUGAAUAUGCCCUGCCCCACCUUAACUGAUGACAUUCCACCACAAAAGAAGUGUAAAUGGCCGGUCCUUGCCUUAAGUGAUGACAUUACCUUGUGAAAGUCCUUUUCCUGGCUCAUCCUGGCUCAGAAGCUCCCCCACUGAGCACCUUGUGACCCCCACCCCUGCCCACCAGAGAACAACCCCCUUUGAUUGUAAUUUUCCAUUACCUUCCCAAAUCCUAUAAAACAGCCCCACCCCUAUCUCCCUUGGCUGACUCUCUUUUCGGACUCAGCCCGCCUGCACCCAGGUGAAAUAAACAGCCAUGUUG